This 446-nucleotide ribosomal RNA is filed under the name uncultured bacterium. RNAcentral's name for it is "partial 16S ribosomal RNA". It matches the Rfam family "Bacterial small subunit ribosomal RNA", at positions 338 to 795 of the family's 1533-position model. The record is from RNAcentral.
CCUACGGGUGGCAGCAGUCGAGAAUCAUUCACAAUGGGGGAAACCCUGAUGGUGCGACGCCGCGUGGGGGAAUGAAGGUCUUCGGAUUGUAAACCCCUGUCAUGUGGGAGCAAAUUAAAAAGUUAGUACCACAAGAGGAAGAGACUGCUAACUCUGUGCCAGCAGCCGCGGUAAUACAGAGGUCUCAAGCGUUGUUCGGAAUCACUGGGCGUAAAGGGUGCGUAGGCGGUUUCGUAAGUCGUGUGUGAAAGGCGCGGGCUCAACCCGCGGAAGGCACAUGAUACUGCGAGACUAGAGUAAUGGAGGGGGAAGCGGAAUUCUCGGUGUAGCAGUGAAAUGCGUAGAUAUCGAGAGGAACACUCGUGGCGAAGGCGGGUUCCUGGACAUUAACUGACGCUGAGGCACGAAGGCCAGGGGAGCGAAAGGGAUUAGAUACCCGGGUAGUC